GGCGGACGGGUGAGUAACACGUGGGUAACCUGCCUGUAAGACUGGGAUAACUCCGGGAAACCGGGGCUAAUACCGGAUAACAUUUUUCUUCGCAUGAGGAAUAAUUGAAAGAUGGCUUUUAGCUAUCACUUACAGAUGGACCCGCGGCGCAUUAGCUAGUUGGUGAGGUAAUGGCUCACCAAGGCAACGAUGCGUAGCCGACUUGAGAGGGUGAUCGGCCACACUGGGACUGAGACACGGCCCAGACUCCUACGGGAGGCAGCAGUAGGGAAUCUUCCGCAAUGGACGAAAGUCUGACGGAGCAACGCCGCGUGAGUGAUGAAGGUUUUCGGAUCGUAAAACUCUGUUGUUAGGGAAGAACAAGUAUCGUUCGAAUAGGGCGGUACCUUGACGGUACCUAACCAGAAAGCCACGGCUAACUACGUGCCAGCAGCCGCGGUAAUACGUAGGUGGCAAGCGUUGUCCGGAAUUAUUGGGCGUAAAGCGCGCGCAGGCGGUUUCUUAAGUCUGAUGUGAAAUCUUGCGGCUCAACCGCAAGCGGUCAUUGGAAACUGGGAGACUUGAGUGCAGAAGAGAAGAGCGGAAUUCCACGUGUAGCGGUGAAAUGCGUAGAGAUGUGGAGGAACACCAGUGGCGAAGGCGGCU
This 645-nucleotide ribosomal RNA is filed under the name uncultured bacterium. RNAcentral describes it as "bacterial SSU rRNA". It matches the Rfam family "Bacterial small subunit ribosomal RNA", at positions 97 to 726 of the family's 1533-position model. The record is from RNAcentral.